UUACGUAAUGGGAAGGUGUUAGGCACCCAAAACGUCCUAGGUACUCCUAGGGAGCCCUUUUCACACUUGUUGUAUAAAAAAGUUUAUUUGUUUAUGACAUAUUGUGCAAACAUGAUUGGGAAGAUGAGAAAAGAAUGUGCAAAUUUAUUAUUUUUGUGUUUGAACGGAUGAACCCGUUGCCUACGUACCUUUCCAUGAAAAGGUAAAGGAUCAAAACGCC
This 220-nucleotide long non-coding RNA is filed under the name Lathyrus oleraceus (garden pea). Its description in RNAcentral is "Pisum sativum (pea) long non-coding RNA (PSAT_LNC001047)". Lineage: Eukaryota; Viridiplantae; Streptophyta; Magnoliopsida; Fabales; Fabaceae. The record is from RNAcentral.